GACCAUUUGGUCUGCUACACAUGCAGUCGAGCGGCAGCGGAAAGUAGCUUGCUACUUUGCCGGCGAGCGGCGGACGGGUGAGUAAUGUCUGGGAAACUGCCUGAUGGAGGGGGAUAACUACUGGAAACGGUAGCUAAUACCGCAUAACGUCGCAAGACCAAAGAGGGGGACCUUCGGGCCUCUUGCCAUCAGAUGUGCCCAGAUGGGAUUAGCUAGUAGGUGGGGUAACGGCUCACCUAGGCGACGAUCCCUAGCUGGUCUGAGAGGAUGACCAGCCACACUGGAACUGAGACACGGUCCAGACUCCUACGGGAGGCAGCAGUGGGGAAUAUUGCACAAUGGGCGCAAGCCUGAUGCAGCCAUGCCGCGUGUAUGAAGAAGGCCUUCGGGUUGUAAAGUACUUUCAGCGGGGAGGAAGGCGUUGAGGUUAAUAACCUCAGCGAUUGACGUUACCCGCAGAAGAAGCACCGGCUAACUCCGUGCCAGCAGCCGCGGUAAUACGGAGGGUGCAAGCGUUAAUCGGAAUUACUGGGCGUAAAGCGCACGCAGGCGGUCUGUCAAGUCGGAUGUGAAAUCCCCGGGCUCAACCUGGGAACUGCAUUCGAAACUGGCAGGCUAGAGUCUUGUAGAGGGGGGUAGAAUUCCAGGUGUAGCGGUGAAAUGCGUAGAGAUCUGGAGGAAUACCGGUGGCGAAGGCGGCCCCCUGGACAAAGACUGACGCUCAGGUGCGAAAGCGUGGGGAGCAAACAGGAUUAGAUACCCUGGUAGUCCACGCCGUAAACGAUGUCGACUUGGAGGUUGUGCCCUUGAGGCGUGGCUUCCGGAGCUAACGCGUUAAGUCGACCGCCUGGGGAGUACGGCCGCAAGGUUAAAACUCAAAUGAAUUGACGGGGGCCCGCACAAGCGGUGGAGCAUGUGGUUUAAUUCGAUGCAACGCGAAGAACCUUACCUACUCUUGACAUCCAGAGAACUUAGCAGAGAUGCUUUGGUGCCUUCGGGAACUCUGAGACAGGUGCUGCAUGGCUGUCGUCAGCUCGUGUGUGAAAUGUUGGGGUUAAGUCCCGCACGAGCGCAACCCUUAUCUUUGUUGCCAGCGGUUCGUGGUACUCAAGAGACUGCAGUGAUAACUGAAGAGUGGGGAUGACGUCCAGUCAUCAUGCGUACGAGUUAGGGCUACACACUGCUACAUGCGCAAUCAAGAGAAGCGAUCCUCGCGAGAGACAGCCGGACCCUAC
This 1235-nucleotide ribosomal RNA is filed under the name Enterobacter kobei. RNAcentral describes it as "bacterial SSU rRNA". It matches the Rfam family "Bacterial small subunit ribosomal RNA", at positions 31 to 1278 of the family's 1533-position model. Lineage: Bacteria; Pseudomonadati; Pseudomonadota; Gammaproteobacteria; Enterobacterales; Enterobacteriaceae. The record is from RNAcentral.